UAACGCGUGGGUAACCUGCCUCAUACAGGGGGAUAGCAGCUGGAAACGGCUAAUAAAACCGCAUAAGCGCACAGCAUCGCAUGAUGCAGUGUGAAAAACUCCGGUGGUAUGAGAUGGACCCGCGUCUGAUUAGCUAGUUGGUGAGGUAACGGCCCACCAAGGCGACGAUCAGUAGCCGGCCUGAGAGGGUGACCGGUCACAUUGGGACUGAGGCACGGCCCAA
This 223-nucleotide ribosomal RNA is filed under the name uncultured bacterium. RNAcentral's name for it is "partial 16S ribosomal RNA". It matches the Rfam family "Bacterial small subunit ribosomal RNA", at positions 111 to 334 of the family's 1533-position model. The record is from RNAcentral.